UACAGAGGUCUCAAGCGUUGUUCGGAAUCACUGGGCGUAAAGGGUGCGUAGGCUGCGGAGUAAGUCGGAUGUGAAAUUUGGGGGCUCAACCCCCAACUUGCAUCUGAUACUGCUUCGCUAGAGACCUGGAGAGGAGUUUGGAAUUCUCGGUGUAGCAGUGAAAUGCGUAGAUUUCGAGAAGAACGCUCGCAGCGAAAGCGAAACUCUGGACAGCGUCUGACGCUGAGGCACGAAGGCUAGGGGAGCAAACGGG
Molecule: ribosomal RNA, 253 nt
Filed under: uncultured bacterium
Lineage: Bacteria
Description: partial 16S ribosomal RNA
Rfam family: Bacterial small subunit ribosomal RNA
Source: RNAcentral